AAACCGUUCAGGGGUAAACCUGAGGAACCCGAAAGAUCGAACGGGGAGAUUCAGAGUCAGCGGCGUUGGCUCGGCGGUGGUCGGCGAUGUCGCCCUGCGACGGCCCUCGCGGUCGUCCCGAGGCGGCACGUCACCGCUCUUCCGUGUCCGGCGUCGUCGUCGUGCACUUCUCCCCUAGUAGAACGUCGCGACCCGUUGGGGUUGCCGGUCUACGGCCCGGGCGAUAGCCUGUCGCGUCGCCUCGCGGCGCACGCGACAGAUCCCCGGUUGCCCGGCCGGCUGCUCGGCGGUAUCGAUCUCGAAAGGUAUCCGGCCGCAGAUCACUCGAAUUGCGUCGGACCCGUCGCAAGCGCGGCCAGCGUUUCCCUGGUGGUUACGGACCCGGCGCCGUCCCCGGGCCUGGUCAGCUGUUGGCAGACGGUGCGCUCCGACGGGCAGGCGAGCGCCUCGCUGCGCUCGCUCGCGGUACCGGUCGGCGACGCUACUGCUUUGGGUACUCUCAGGACCCGUCUUGAAACACGGACCAAGGAGUCUAACAUGUGCGCGAGUCAUUGGGAUUCCGAAUCCUAAAGGCGCAAUGAAAGUGAAGGUCGGCCAUCGCGUCGACCGAGGGAGGAUGGGCCGCGUCGCGACGCGACUCCGCACUCCCGGGGCGUCUCGUUCUCAUCGCGAGGAGAGGCGCACCCAGAGCGUACACGUUGGGACCCGAAAGAUGGUGAACUAUGCCUGGUCAGGACGAAGUCAGGGGAAACCCUGAUGGAGGUCCGUAGCGAUUCUGACGUGCAAAUCGAUCGUCGGAACUGGGUAUAGGGGCGAAAGACUAAUCGA
RNAcentral lists this ribosomal RNA (828 nucleotides) under Pseudomasaris phaceliae. RNAcentral's name for it is "eukaryotic LSU rRNA". The stretch from base 523 to 828 matches the Rfam family "Eukaryotic large subunit ribosomal RNA", at positions 665 to 938 of the family's 3401-position model. The record is from RNAcentral. Lineage: Eukaryota; Metazoa; Arthropoda; Insecta; Hymenoptera; Vespidae.